Molecule: ribosomal RNA, 253 nt
Filed under: uncultured bacterium
Lineage: Bacteria
Description: partial 16S ribosomal RNA
Rfam family: Bacterial small subunit ribosomal RNA
Source: RNAcentral
GACAGAGGAUGCAAGCGUUAUCCGGAAUGAUUGGGCGUAAAGAGCUCGUAGGCGGUUUGUCGCGUCUGCCGUGAAAGUCCGGGCUCAACUCCGGAUCUGCGGUGGGUACGGGCAGACUAGAGUGAUGUAGGGGAGACUGGAAUUCCUGGUGUAGCGGUGAAAUGCGCAGAUAUCAGGAGGAACACCGAUGGCGAAGGCAGGUCUCUCGGGCAUUAACUGACGCUGAGGAGCGAAAGCAUGGGGAGCGAACAGG